AUAUACCAUUCUUCUCUUUUCAAUCUUACAUAAAAAAUGUCUGAUCUUUACACACAAUCUCAGCUCAUCCCAAACCUACCAAAUGACAUAGCUUUACAAUGCUUAGCCAGAGUUCCACGUUACCAUCACCCAAUUCUUUCUCUUGUUUCCAAAUCUUGGCGCUCCACCAUAAGCUCUACUGCACUCUACACCACUAGAUCAAGAAUCCAUACUACUGAAACUUUCCUUUACCUUAAUCUAAGGAUAAACUCCACUUUCCAUUGGUACACUCUCUUUUCAAGAACCCAAGAAAAACCCAUUAAGGUUUGUCAACUUUCUUCAAUGCCAACUAGGACAAUUGGACCGGCUUUCGCGGUUUUGGGGUCGAAAAUUUAUGUGAUUGGUGGGUCUAUUGGUGAUAUACCGUCGAAUAAUGUGUGGGUUUUUGAUUGUAGGUUUAAUUGUUGGGAAAUGGGUCCAAGAAUGAGGGUUUGUAGAGAGUUUGCUGCUGCUGGUGUUGUGGAUGAGAAGAUUUAUGUGUUGGGUGGUUGUGUUGUUGAUAAUUGGGCUAGGUCGAUGAAUUGGGCUGAGGUUUUUGAUCCGAAAACGGGGUUGUGGACCGCGUUGCCGAGUCCGAUUGAGGUUAGGGAUAAGUGGAUGCAUGCUAGCGCGGUCGUGGGUGGUAGAAUGUAUGCGAUGGCGGAUAGGGGAGGAGUUGUGUAUGAUGCGGAGGGGUGUGCGUGGGGAAGCGUGUCGAAAAGGCUCGAUCUUGGUUGGAGGGGGCGGGCCGCGGUGGUGGGGGAGGUGUUGUACUGUUAUGAUUAUUUGGGUAAGAUUAGAGGGUAUGAUGUGAAGGAAAAUGUGUGGAAGGAAUUGAAAGGGGUGGAGAAAGGGUUGCCUAAGUUUUUGUGUGGUGCGACGAUGGUGAAUUUUGAUGAUAAGUUGUGUGUUGUGUGGGAAGGUAAGGGGAGUGGCAAGGAGGUUGAUAUUAUGUGCGCGGAGAUUGAAGUAUGGAAGAAUGAAGACGGAGGGUUGAGUGGGAAAAUUUUGUGGUCGGAUAUGAUUCUUGUUGUUCCUAAUGGUGCCUCGAUUGUGCAUUGCUUGGCAGUUGACUUGUGAUGAUUACUACAAACAAGUCGGGUGUGCAGAUUGGAUCUGUUGGAUCUUUGAUGCACAUAAAAUGAAAUUCAGCCAACACCGUGAUUUUAAAAAAGAUAAUGUGAAAUGCAUUUUGCCUAACCGGUCGGGGUGGUUGAUCGGUCCUCUUGGAUCCUUGAUGCAUACAUAGAACCUAUUUGGCGGGGAUGAGCAUGCCAGACAUCGUGGAUGGCAUCUGACGCAGAUAUCGUGGAUGGGAUCCCAAUGCAUACACCAUCCCUGUUGUGAAAAUCUUGAGUUGUGGAUAUUGAGAAUGCGAAUUAAGCGAAGCUAUUGAAGGUGCUGAUCAAUGCAUGAGAUGACCUGUCUUUUCACAUGUUGCUUGUUUGGUUCGCAUCAUAAUGCUGCAGUUUCGUCUUUGAGAGUUCUAUAUAUGACUGCACAAAUUCAGAUACCGGCAAGGAACCUCAAGUGUAAACCCUCAAGAAUCAAUAUUUUCAAGUUGUUGAAUGUUCCCAAAGGCCAUUUCCAGAUAAAGGUAAGUGCUUCUGGUUCAACUUUCAGUGCCAGACUGGGGGAGUCGUAGAUGUGAGUUGUGUUUCAAAUACAUUUGUGGAAAGCUGCUACAUAAAUUCUUGGACAAAUUCUAGCGUAACAAAGGCAAUGAGCAAUAGUUUGUAAUUGUCAAGGAGAAAAGGAUCAACAAAUUUUUCUGACACUGCUCAAAUAUUUCAACUCUGCUAUUCAGCUGAGGUUA
Lycium ferocissimum is the source of this 1834-nucleotide RNA transcript. It is a transcript of the gene named F-box/kelch-repeat protein SKIP6-like, with no coding region annotated. The transcript is spliced from 3 exons. The record is from RefSeq and is a predicted model, not a curated record. NCBI's taxonomy places the organism in Eukaryota, Viridiplantae, Streptophyta, Magnoliopsida, Solanales, Solanaceae.